Long non-coding RNA from Corapipo altera (White-ruffed manakin), 386 nucleotides. RefSeq lists it as uncharacterized. The transcript has 3 exons. The record is from RefSeq and is a predicted model, not a curated record. NCBI's taxonomy places the organism in Eukaryota, Metazoa, Chordata, Aves, Passeriformes, Pipridae.
GGUCGGGGCCGGGCCGGGCCGGGCGGUGUGUGCGGCCGCCUCGAUGGCCCCGCCGGAGCGCUGGGAGCGAUCUCAAAAGUGGAACUGCUCUAACUUCACAUGUUAAAGUAGAACCUACUUCUCCUGCCUCUGCCUUGCACUGAGCAUCCAGCCUUGCCCAUGGUGCAGUACAGCAGAUGCUGCUGUGGGAGAGCCUGGCUGGUGAGACAGUUCCUUCCUGCUCACCUCCUUGAGCAUCGAGCUGUGUCAGCUGGGAUGACUGGAGAAGCCCAUCUCUUUCCCCGUCCUCUGAGACCAGGUUCUGCUAUUUAGUGGUAAUAGAUGUUAAGCAUCAAAAAACCCACAACAAACAAAACCCAACAGAGGAUGGUCUGCCUGGCAAGUGA